Coprinopsis cinerea okayama7#130 is the source of this 73-nucleotide transfer RNA. It matches the Rfam family "tRNA". Rfam says of the family: Transfer RNA (tRNA) molecules are approximately 80 nucleotides in length. Their secondary structure includes four short double-helical elements and three loops (D, anti-codon, and T loops). Further hydrogen bonds mediate the characteristic L-shaped molecular structure. tRNAs have two regions of fundamental functional importance: the anti-codon, which is responsible for specific mRNA codon recognition, and the 3' end, to which the tRNAs corresponding amino acid is attached (by aminoacyl-tRNA synthetases). tRNAs cope with the degeneracy of the genetic code in two manners: having more than one tRNA (with a specific anti-codon) for a particular amino acid; and 'wobble' base-pairing, i.e. permitting non-standard base-pairing at the 3rd anti-codon position. NCBI's taxonomy places the organism in Eukaryota, Fungi, Basidiomycota, Agaricomycetes, Agaricales, Psathyrellaceae. The record is from Rfam.
GGUUCAAUGGUCUAGUGGUUAUGAUUUCUGUCUUACACACAGAAGGUCUCCAGUUCGAUCCUGGAUUGAACCA